Molecule: long non-coding RNA, 244 nt
Filed under: Elaeis guineensis (African oil palm)
Lineage: Eukaryota; Viridiplantae; Streptophyta; Magnoliopsida; Arecales; Arecaceae
Description: long non-coding RNA (EGUI_LNC029418)
Source: RNAcentral
UUGUUGACUCUCUACACCAACAAUAGCCAACCAGGCUUGGAGGGCUUACCACUACACAAUAGCAAUCUGAAAAUAUCUAUUAGAAAAGAGACAAGUGAACAAUUCAACCAUGCUACAUAGUUUAUUCCAACAGACAGAAUGAUCAACAGAAGAGACUGAACUCUUUCAACAAUUGAUACCAAACCCUAGGAUCAGCUCAAAACUUUAAAGGAUGACCUUCAAUGUAGCAAAAUAUUCCUUCUUA